GUCUGUACCACUGAAAAUGGUUUUUGGCAGGUGUAUGGGAUCUGUUAGGUCAGGGCCUGAACCAGUGAUUGAGCACCUGGUGAAGGGGUGUAGCCAGCCCCGGGAGCACAGGUGGAAGCAAUUCACUUGUGUGACCUACGGUCCACCCCUCCCUAACCUCAUUUAACGACUGGCAGCCGCAAGAGAAGUAUCUCUAGUUGGAGAUCACCUCCUUUGGAGCGUUGGGUGAGCUCUGAACCUCAGAAAGGGCAGGAGUGUGAUGUUUCAGCCAUUUCGAGGGGAUGCUGAUAAAUACCCUUGCUGGUAAAGAAUAAUUAUGGCAUUUUGUUAAGCCUGAGCAUGAAAUUGAAAAAAAAUGUAUAAUUGUUAAUUAAAAUGUAUAAUACUUUUUACAGACCGUGGUUAAAGGGCUUUGAAACAAUUGCAGAAAAUGAAUGAAUUGAAAUG
RNAcentral lists this long non-coding RNA (447 nucleotides) under Gallus gallus (chicken). Its description in RNAcentral is "lncRNA (ENSGALG00010008970.1)". The record is from RNAcentral. Lineage: Eukaryota; Metazoa; Chordata; Aves; Galliformes; Phasianidae.